Molecule: ribosomal RNA, 1352 nt
Filed under: uncultured bacterium
Lineage: Bacteria
Description: bacterial SSU rRNA
Rfam family: Bacterial small subunit ribosomal RNA
Source: RNAcentral
AUUGAACGCUGGCGGCAUGCCUUACACAUGCAAGUCGAACGGCAGCACGGAGCUUGCUCUGGUGGCGAGUGGCGAACGGGUGAGUAAUAUAUCGGAACGUACCCUAGAGUGGGGGAUAACGUAGCGAAAGUUACGCUAAUACCGCAUACGAUCUAAGGAUGAAAGUGGGGGAUCGCAAGACCUCAUGCUCGUGGAGCGGCCGAUAUCUGAUUAGCUAGUUGGUAGGGUAAAAGCCUACCAAGGCAUCGAUCAGUAGCUGGUCUGAGAGGACGACCAGCCACACUGGAACUGAGACACGGUCCAGACUCCUACGGGAGGCAGCAGUGGGGAAUUUUGGACAAUGGGCGAAAGCCUGAUCCAGCAAUGCCGCGUGAGUGAAGAAGGCCUUCGGGUUGUAAAGCUCUUUUGUCAGGGAAGAAACGGUGGGAGCUAAUAUCUCUUGCUAAUGACGGUACCUGAAGAAUAAGCACCGGCUAACUACGUGCCAGCAGCCGCGGUAAUACGUAGGGUGCAAGCGUUAAUCGGAAUUACUGGGCGUAAAGCGUGCGCAGGCGGUUUUGUAAGUCUGAUGUGAAAUCCCCGGGCUCAACCUGGGAAUUGCAUUGGAGACUGCAAGGCUAGAAUCUGGCAGAGGGGGGUAGAAUUCCACGUGUAGCAGUGAAAUGCGUAGAUAUGUGGAGGAACACCGAUGGCGAAGGCAGCCCCCUGGGUCAAGAUUGACGCUCAUGCACGAAAGCGUGGGGAGCAAACAGGAUUAGAUACCCUGGUAGUCCACGCCCUAAACGAUGUCUACUAGUUGUCGGGUCUUAAUUGACUUGGUAACGCAGCUAACGCGUGAAGUAGACCGCCUGGGGAGUACGGUCGCAAGAUUAAAACUCAAAGGAAUUGACGGGGACCCGCACAAGCGGUGGAUGAUGUGGAUUAAUUCGAUGCAACGCGAAAAACCUUACCUACCCUUGACAUGGCUGGAAUCCUUGAGAGAUCAGGGAGUGCUCGAAAGGGAACCAGUACACAGGUGCUGCAUGGCUGUCGUCAGCUCGUGUCGUGAGAUGUUGGGUUAAGUCCCGCAACGAGCGCAACCCUUGUCAUUAGUUGCUACGAAAGGGCACUCUAAUGAGACUGCCGGUGACAAACCGGAGGAAGGUGGGGAUGACGUCAAGUCCUCAUGGCCCUUAUGGGUAGGGCUUCACACGUCAUACAAUGGUACAUACAGAGCGCCGCCAACCCGCGAGGGGGAGCUAAUCGCAGAAAGUGUAUCGUAGUCCGGAUUGUAGUCUGCAACUCGACUGCAUGAAGUUGGAAUCGCUAGUAAUCGCGGAUCAGCAUGUCGCGGUGAAUACGUUCCCGGGUCU